This 22-nucleotide microRNA is filed under the name Medicago truncatula (barrel medic). RNAcentral's name for it is "mtr-miR169l-3p". Its record names the gene mtr-miR169l-3p. Lineage: Eukaryota; Viridiplantae; Streptophyta; Magnoliopsida; Fabales; Fabaceae. The record is from miRBase by way of RNAcentral.
GGCAAGUUUUUCCUUGGCUAUA